AUGGGGGGCGUCCCACGCUCACAGGCCCAAGGCACAGAGCAGGUCAGGUUGCUGGGGGAGCCAGACUCCAGGGCCCCUAGGAUGAGGAUGUCGGGGGUAUGGUUCAGGGCUGGAGAGAAGAAGGGACAAGGGAUCAGGACAGACGGUCCAAGGUGCAGCCCUGAGAGAAGCUCCAGCUCUGACCCACUCCUCGGUGAGCUCUCAGUACUCGACCCUCAACUCCUCCCUCCAACCCAUCUCAGCUCUGCCCUGUGGCCACCGUUACCUUCCCUAGUGGUCAGUGUGGAGCUAGAGUCUUACCUGUGACAUACACAGUGACCCGGUUCCAAUAGAAAUUCCUCCUGAAACUUGCUGAGCUCAUCUGAAAGAAGUAUGAACCACUGUCGCCCCGCUGUGCGUCCCUGAUGAGCAGGGAGCAGUUCCUGGUCUGUGUGUCCCAGAGGAGGGGGAAGCGGCCCCGAGUCUCCCUCUGCACUUGCUGUUGUGGGUUGUUUGUGGCUACUGGAGAGUCAGGGAGAAGGUCAGACCCCUCCCGGAAGCAGGAGCCAGAGACGGGGCGUGGCGUGAAGGAAAAGUGGUGGUAGGAGAAUUGGCAGGCACGAGGAUGCACAGACAUUCCUGCACUGACACCGACUUUGGCAUGCUCAGCCUGUAUCUUGGGUACUGAGCCAGAGACCCUGUGGGGGAAACAAGAUUCAGCUCUGUACAGAAGCCCCCAGACCCUCUCCCUGUGCCCACUCACCCGCCCACAGCAGAGGCAGCAGCAGAGGCAGCAACAUGUCGGACGUGGAGGAUCCUGGGCUCCUGUGGGUGAGCGCAGAAGGGAGGAGUAGGGGUGGGAAGCACUGUGGGACCCGGGGAAGCUAGGAAAGGCAAGAGACCUCAGUAUCUCAAGG
RNAcentral lists this long non-coding RNA (896 nucleotides) under Chinchilla lanigera (long-tailed chinchilla). RNAcentral describes it as "lncRNA (ENSCLAG00000029224.1)". The record is from RNAcentral. Lineage: Eukaryota; Metazoa; Chordata; Mammalia; Rodentia; Chinchillidae.